CUGGAAUUGCUAGUAAUGGCAGGUCAGCAUACUGCCGUGAAUACGUUCCCGGGCCUUGUACACACCGCCCGUCACACCAUGAGAGUUGGGAAUACCCGAAGCCUGUGAGCUAACUUAUAGAGGCAGCAGUCGAAGGUAGAAUCAAUGAUUGGGGUGAAGUCGUAACAAGGUACC
This 174-nucleotide ribosomal RNA is filed under the name uncultured bacterium. Its description in RNAcentral is "partial 16S ribosomal RNA". It matches the Rfam family "Bacterial small subunit ribosomal RNA", at positions 1326 to 1500 of the family's 1533-position model. The record is from RNAcentral.